GGUAAUUCGCUUGUUCCUUCAAACUCAAAUGGAAUAUCUAUAAACAACACAGGUUUCAACAGUACGACGCAGUGACGUUUUUCACCUCGUUCGAAAGUUUCACGCGUUCACGCAACAGCGAAAACUGCGCCGAGAGAGAGAGAGAGAGAGAGAGAGGGAAAGAGAGACGGAGUAAGCGAGUGUAUACUCGGAGCUGACUCGUGGGUUAUUCACGUUGAGGAUGCCCCAUGAAAAAUCGCUGUCACUCUCCUCUCGACGACGAUCCGACGGGUUUUUAUGGCUCUCAGAAAUGAUUAAUUCGGUGAAACUCCAACCGAAAUUGCCUGAAUAAAGCACAACUUCAAAGUUUUCGAAUUCAAACUCGAUCUGCCCAUUUUCCGAGUUGGAAUUCCCCGUAAACUAUGGAUGACGAUCUCUCGCGCAACUCUCGUACGGAACGAGCCGCCAUCAUAGGGGCAAUAUACUUCUUGCAGCAAGACUCCUGUUACUCCAGCCUAUCAAAGGAUUACUCUCAGCUCUCGCAGAGAGCAUCGGAAUUUUUAAAAUAACCCAGUUGGUUUGUAUUUCUCGUUAACUAACUAUUCGAGGUAUUCCAUCGUGUGUCUUGCGGGCUUCUUAUGACCAUUUCGACCGCUCUAUUCAGCUUUUUCUUAUUAUACGAUCUCGAUGACUCUUGAAUCGAGCUUCGGUAAAAAGCUUGUGCACAGGAAGAUACGGAAAAUCUGUUUCACGAUAAGAGCGUUUUCAUGCAGCUUUUCGGAGAAGCAUCGCGUAAAAAUAAUAAUAAUAUUAUUAGUAUAAUUAGUAUAUUAAUAGUAAUAAUGAAAAAUAUAUCGAAAAAUUUCGUUCAAGUGAAUGUCGCGUUCAUCAAAAUGUUAAUGAAUUAACGAAUGAUGUUUCGGGGAGUUUUGAAUUAUUUAAACGUUCGCUUCUCGCCCAAACCUCGUAUUUUCGAAAGCUCAACUACGCUCGAUGAAAAAUUCGUGAUACUGGCUCGACUAUGAAUAUACGAAAGGUGUUACAGAAAUGUUAAUAGAUAAUGGAGACUGCGACUAACUGAAUUGAGAAUCGAUUUCAAAUUGGGAAAUCAGACACUUGCUGAGACUGGAUUAAAUACGACGAUGAAACCCAGUGAUCAUCCUCCUACUUCCACCUCGCAAAUUGCGAUAAAUGCUCAACGUUCAAAUUCAAUUGUAUCAACUUAUUUUCAUUCUUCAAAGAUUAUCAAGUAGAAUUGUCAUUCCUACAGAGGUGUGAUUAAUAUUACAAUUUUCUGUGAAAAUAACAUUGUCUCGAAAGUGCCAUUAAUAACGUCACUCGAACGCUGGUAACAAGCAAUCUUUCAAAGUUUCUACAAUCCAUCAUUUUUCCUUCCUUUCGUAAUAAAACUGGAACAGGAUUGCCA
Molecule: long non-coding RNA, 1405 nt
Organism: Venturia canescens
Lineage: Eukaryota; Metazoa; Arthropoda; Insecta; Hymenoptera; Ichneumonidae
Exons: 2
Source: RefSeq, a predicted model, not a curated record